UACGUAGGGUGCAGGCGUUAAUCGGAAUUACUGGGCGUAAAGCGUGCGCAGGCGGUUUCUUAAGUCAGAUGUGAAAGCCCCGGGCUCAACCUGGGAAUGGCAUUGGAAACUGGCGGGCUUGAGUGUGGCAGAGGGGGGUGGAAUUCCGCGUGUAGCAGUGAAAUGCGUAGAGAUGCGGAGGAACACCGAUGGCGAAGGCAGCCCCCUGGGCUGACACUGACGCUCAGGCACGAAAGCGUGGGGAGCAAACAGG
RNAcentral lists this ribosomal RNA (253 nucleotides) under uncultured bacterium. Its description in RNAcentral is "partial 16S ribosomal RNA". It matches the Rfam family "Bacterial small subunit ribosomal RNA", at positions 524 to 776 of the family's 1533-position model. The record is from RNAcentral.